AACGAACGCUGGCGGCAUGCCUAACACAUGCAAGUCGAACGGGAUCCUAGCUUGCUAGGUGAGAGUGGCGGACGGGUGAGUAACACGUGGGAAUCUGCCUUUUGGUUCGGGAUAACCGCGGGAAACUGCGGCUAAUACCGAAUGCCCUCGUGAGAGGAAAGAUUUAUCGCCAGAAGAGGAGCCCGCGUCCGAUUAGGUAGUUGGUGGGGUAAAGGCCUACCAAGCCGACGAUCGGUAGCUGGUCUGAGAGGAUGAUCAGCCACACUGGGACUGAGAUACGGCCCAGACUCCUACGGGAGGCAGCAGUGGGGAAUAUUGGGACAAUGGGGGCAACCCUGAUCCAGCAAUGCCGCGUGAGUGAUGAAGGCCUUAGGGUUGUAAAGCUCUUUUGUCCAGGGAAGAUGAUGACUGUACCUGGAGAAUAAGCCCCGGCUAACUUCGUGCCAGCAGCCGCGGUAAU
This 460-nucleotide ribosomal RNA is filed under the name uncultured bacterium. RNAcentral describes it as "bacterial SSU rRNA". It matches the Rfam family "Bacterial small subunit ribosomal RNA", at positions 29 to 524 of the family's 1533-position model. The record is from RNAcentral.